UGCAAACGCAGUCUCCUUUGCCUGGAAUGCUCUUCCCAUGUGUGUCCUUUCCAGCUCAAGUGUCAUCUGAAGGCAGGCUUCCGAUAAAAUACUUAACUGACAAAUUAAUAAUCUAAAGUGAAAAGAAAUAGAUAAAUAUUUAUAAAAAUUAGGCUCUCAGAUCAAACAGGUCAAAAUCUUGAGCUCAGAGCAAUAACGUAAGGUAUCUGUCCAGCAUAAAAAUUUUACUUUUUGGCUACACUGAGGCCAAAAGGAAAAAGCUGAGAAAAAGAGAAAAAUAAACUGCUCAAAUUCUUCCCUGCCCACAUUUGUUAAUGAAGUAAACCAGAUCAGCAAAUAGAUUUGUUACUUGUUCAAGGCUACCUGGAGAUUUCAUUUUUCUUAUACAAUUCAGCCAAUCCUAGAUAAAAUGUAAAUAUUGAAAUUUUAACCUUGAACUCACUUGAAGCUAAAAAAAAAUAAGAUGAAGGAAGUUUUUCAAAAUCAAACUGACAUGGAAACUGCUUUACCCAAAAUUUUGAUCUUCAGCCUUCAUUCAAUUACCUAUCAGGGCAAAUAAAGUUUAGCAAUGUGAACAAAUCUCAAUUUUGUUAGAAAUAUAAUUUGGAUCUCACUUUCUUUUAUACACCAGUGAGUUGGCCGGGCAUGGUGGCUCGCGCCUGUAAUCCCAGGACUUUGGGAGGCUGAGCUGGCUGGAUCACCUGAGGUCAGGAGUUUGAGACCAGCCUGCCAACAUGGUGAAACCCCAGCUCUACUAAAAAUACAAAACUUAGCUGGGCAUGGUGAUGUGCAUCUGUAAUCCCAGCUACUCCAGAGGCUGAGGCAAGAGAAUCACUUGAACCCGGGAGACGGAGGUUGCAGUAAGCUGAGAUUGUGCCACUGCACUCCAGCCUAGGCAACAGAGCGAGACUCCAUCUCAAAAACAAAAACAAAAACAAAAACAAACAAAAAAAACAAUGAGUUGUUAUACUAUCUCAUGACUCUAAUACUAAAAUGAAAGCUAUAUGAUUUUUAUUUGAGUGUGUAUAUGUGUUUAGAUGUGUUACGGAUAUGUACAUUUAUCAUGUUGUAUGCUGUGUUUACAUAGUAAAAUCUGAUGUCGUUGGUCAGAAAUCCUCUAAGGAUAAAUGAGUACUCAUAUAAAAUAUAAUAUGUAUAUAGCCAUUAGCCCAGAUACCUUUUAGUUCACAUGACUAAAGUAAACCUUUAGUAAAUAAACUGGUUUUUAAAUUACUGAUAACAUAAAAAUAAAAAUGUCUUC
Molecule: long non-coding RNA, 1261 nt
Filed under: Homo sapiens (human)
Lineage: Eukaryota; Metazoa; Chordata; Mammalia; Primates; Hominidae
Description: non-protein coding lnc-MESD-6:1
Source: RNAcentral